RNAcentral lists this ribosomal RNA (498 nucleotides) under uncultured bacterium. RNAcentral's name for it is "partial 16S ribosomal RNA". It matches the Rfam family "Bacterial small subunit ribosomal RNA", at positions 27 to 507 of the family's 1533-position model. The record is from RNAcentral.
GGAUGAACGCUGGCGGCGUGCCUAAUACAUGCAAGUCGAGCGAACGGACGAGAAGCUUGCUUUUCUGAUGUUAGCGGCGGACGGGUGAGUAACACGUGGAUAACCUACCUAUAAGACUGGGAUAACUUCGGGAAACCGGAGCUAAUACCGGAUAAUAUUUUGAACCGCAUGGUUCAAAAGUGAAAGACGGUCUUGCUGUCACUUAUAGAUGGAUCCGCGCUGCAUUAGCUAGUUGGUAAGGUAACGGCUUACCAAGGCAACGAUGCAUAGCCGACCUGAGAGGGUGAUCGGCCACACUGGAACUGAGACACGGUCCAGACUCCUACGGGAGGCAGCAGUAGGGAAUCUUCCGCAAUGGGCGAAAGCCUGACGGAGCAACGCCGCGUGAGUGAUGAAGGUCUUCGGAUCGUAAAACUCUGUUAUUAGGGAAGAACAUAUGUGUAAGUAACUGUGCACAUCUUGACGGUACCUAAUCAGAAAGCCACGGCUAGCUACGUG